Molecule: ribosomal RNA, 2932 nt
Filed under: Cohnella ginsengisoli
Lineage: Bacteria; Bacillati; Bacillota; Bacilli; Caryophanales; Paenibacillaceae
Description: 23S ribosomal RNA
Rfam family: Bacterial large subunit ribosomal RNA
Source: RNAcentral
GGUUAAGCUAUUAAGGGCGCACGGAGGAUGCCUAGGCGCCAGGAGCCUAAGAAGGACGCGGCGAACAGCGAAAUUGCCUCGGGGAGCCGUAAGCGGGCUUUGAUCCGGGGAUGUCCGAAUGGGGAAACCCGGCUGGGGUCAUGCCCAGUCACCUAUGAGUGAAUACAUAGCUCAUAAGGAGGCACACCCAGGGAACUGAAACAUCUAAGUACCUGGAGGAGAAGAAAACAAGAGUGAUUCCGUCAGUAGCGGCGAGCGAAAGCGGAUUAGCCCAAACCUGAGAGCUUGCUCUCAGGGGUUGUGGGACGUCUCACAUGGAGUUACAAAGGGAUAGGUUAGGCGAAGAGAUCUGGAAAGGUCCGGCAUAGAAGGUAAAAGCCCUGUAGCCGAAAGUCUAUCCCCUCCGAGACGGAUCCCGAGUACCGCGGGACACGAGAAACCCCGUGGGAAUCCGGCAGGACCAUCUGCCAAGGCUAAAUACUCCCUGGCGACCGAUAGUGAAGCAGUACCGUGAGGGAAAGGUGAAAAGCACCGCGGGAGCGGAGUGAAAAAGAACCUGAAACCGUGCGCUUACAAGAAGUCAGAGCCCGAUCUAGGGGUGAUGGCGUGCCUUUUGUAGAAUGAACCGGCGAGUUACGUUUACGUGCGAGGUUAAGUCGGAGAGACGGAGCCGCAGCGAAAGCGAGUCUGAAUAGGGCGCUUUAGUACGUAGUCGUAGACCCGAAACCGGGUGAUCUACCCCUGUGCAGGGUGAAGGUGAGGUAACACUUACUGGAGGCCCGAACUCGUGAGCGUUGAAAAGCUCUGGGAUGACGUGGGGGUAGGGGAGAAAUUCCAAUCGAACUCGGAGAUAGCUGGUUCUCCCCGAAAUAGCUUUAGGGCUAGCCUCGAGAUUUAGCAUCAUGGAGGUAGAGCACUGAUUGGGUGCGGGGCCCGCCAAGGGUUACCAAGUCCAGUCAAACUCCGAAUGCCAUGGAUGUAUGCUCGGGAGUCAGACGGCGAGUGCUAAGAUCCGUCGUCAAGAGGGAAAGAGCCCAGAUCAUCAGCUAAGGUCCCCAAGUGUGUGUUAAGUGGGAAAGGAUGUGGAGUUGCGAAGACAACCAGGAUGUUGGCUUAGAAGCAGCCACCAUUUAAAGAGUGCGUAAUAGCUCACUGGUCGAGUGACUCUGCGCCGAAAAUGUAACGGGGCUAAACACACCACCGAAGCUAUGGCAUGUACCUUAGGGUACUUGGGUAGGGGAGCGUUGAAUGCGGGUUGAAGUCGGACCGAGAGGACCGGUGGACUGCAUUCAAGUGAGAAUGCCGGUAUGAGUAACGAAAAGACAGGUGAGAAUCCUGUCCGCCGAAAGCCUAAGGGUUCCUGAGGAAGGUUCGUCCGCUCAGGGUAAGUCGGGACCUAAGGCGAGGCCGAAAGGCGUAGUCGAAGGACAACAGGUUGAAAUUCCUGUACCACCGUAAUCCGUUAUGAGCGAUGGGGGGACGCAGGAGGGCAAGAACGCGAGCUGAUGGAAUAGCUCGUCCAAGCAGUGAGGGGUGUGUGUAGGCAAAUCCGCACACUAAUACCUUGAGCUGUGAUGGGGAGGGAAAAUUACAGUACCGAAGGUUCCGUGCUCACGCUGCCGAGAAAAGCCUCUAGCCAGGAGAAGGUGCCCGUACCGCAAACCGACACAGGUAGGCGAGAAGAGAAUUCUAAGGCGCGCGGAAGAACUCUCGUUAAGGAACUCGGCAAAAUGACCCCGUAACUUCGGGAGAAGGGGUGCCUCGGUAGGGUGAAUAGCCCGAGGGGGCCGCAGUGAAUAGGCCCAAGCGACUGUUUAGCAAAAACACAGGUCUGUGCGAAGCCGUAAGGCGAAGUAUACGGGCUGACGCCUGCCCGGUGCUGGAAGGUUAAGGGGGAGCGGUUAGGGGCAACCCGAAGCUGUGAACCGAAGCCCCAGUAAACGGCGGCCGUAACUAUAACGGUCCUAAGGUAGCGAAAUUCCUUGUCAGGUAAAUUCUGACCCGCACGAAUGGCGUAACGACUUGGGCGCUGUCUCAACGAGAGAUCCGGUGAAAUUUUAGUACCUGUGAAGAUGCAGGUUACCCGCGACGUGACGGAAAGACCCCAUGGAGCUUUACUGUAGCUUGAUAUUGAACUUGGGUACGGUCUGUACAGGAUAGGUGGGAGCCUUUGAAGCCUGAGCGCAAGCUUAGGUGGAGGCGCCGUUGGGAUACCACCCUGAUCGUAUCUAGGUUCUAACCUGUCACCGUGAAUCCGGUGAAGGGACCGUGUCAGGCGGACAGUUUGACUGGGGCGGUCGCCUCCUAAAGCGUAACGGAGGCGCCCCAAGGUUCCCUCAGAAUGGUUGGAAAUCAUUCGAAGAGUGCAAAGGCAUAAGGGAGCUUGACUGCGAGACCUACAAGUCGAGCAGGGACGAAAGUCGGGCUUAGUGAUCCGGUGGUACCGAAUGGAAGGGCCAUCGCUCAACGGAUAAAAGCUACCCUGGGGAUAACAGGCUUAUCUCCCCCAAGAGUCCACAUCGACGGGGAGGUUUGGCACCUCGAUGUCGGCUCAUCGCAUCCUGGGGCUGAAGUAGGUCCCAAGGGUUGGGCUGUUCGCCCAUUAAAGCGGUACGCGAGCUGGGUUCAGAACGUCGUGAGACAGUUCGGUCCCUAUCUGUCGCGGGCGUAGGAAAUUUGAGAGGGGCUGUCCUUAGUACGAGAGGACCGGGAUGGACGCACCGCUGGUGUACCAGUUGUUCCGCCAGGAGCAUCGCUGGGUAGCCAAGUGCGGGAGGGAUAAGCGCUGAAAGCAUCUAAGCGCGAAGCCCGCCUCAAGAUGAGAUUUCCCAGUAUGUAAGACCCCUUGGAGAACACGAGGUUGAUAGGCUCGGGGUGUAAGCAUGGCAACAUGUGUAGCUGACGAGUACUAAUCGGUCGAGGGCUUAUCCUA